UACGUAGGGGCCGAGCGUUGUCCGGAGUUACUGGGCGUAAAGCGCGCGUAGGCGGCUACCUAAGUCGGAUGUGAAAGCCCCUGGCUUAACUGGGGAAGUGCACCCGAAACUGGGUAGCUAGAGUGCAAAAGAGGGUCGCGGAAUUCCCGGUGUAGAGGUGAAAUUCGUAGAUAUCGGGAGGAACACCGGUGGCGAAGGCGGCGACCUGGGUUGACACUGACGCUGAGGCGCGAAAGCGUGGGGAGCAAACAGG
This 253-nucleotide ribosomal RNA is filed under the name uncultured bacterium. Its description in RNAcentral is "partial 16S ribosomal RNA". It matches the Rfam family "Bacterial small subunit ribosomal RNA", at positions 524 to 776 of the family's 1533-position model. The record is from RNAcentral.